GAUGAACUGUGGGUAGCGGAGAAAUUCCAAUCGAACCCGGAGAUAGCUGGUUCUCUCCGAAAUAGCUUUAGGGCUAGCCUUGAAAUAGAUUACCGGAGGUAAAGCACUGAAUUGGCUAGGGGCCGAGAGGUUACUGAACCUUAUCAAACUAAGAAUGCCGGAUAAUCGUUUUUCAGGAGUCAGACAGUGGGAGAUAAGUUUCAUUGUCAAAAGGGAAACAGCCCAGACCCACAGCUAAGGUCCCCAAGUAUAGUUAAGUGGAAAAGGAUGUGGAAUUGCACAGACAACCAGGAUGUUGGCUUAGAAGCAGCCACUCAUUAAAAGAGUGCGUAAUAGCUCACUGGUCGAGUGACUCUGCGCCGAAAAUUUAACGGGGCUAAACUAUACACCGAAGCUUGGGAUACAUCUAAUGUAUGGUAGGAGAGCGUUCUGUAUGGGGAGAAGUCGUAGCGAAAGCGGCGGUGGACUAUACAGAAGUGAGAAUGCCGGAAUAAGUAGCGAGAAUUAAGUGAGAAUCUUAAUGGCCGAAAGUCUAAGGUUUUUGGAGGAAGGUUCGUCCGCUCCAAGUAAGUCGGGAGCUAAGGUCAGGCCGAAAGGCGUAGCCGAUGCACAUACGGUUGAUAUUCCGUAACCAUCUGUAAUUUAAGCAAAGGGACACUUCAAAAGGGUGUGACCCGGGCGUUGGUUGACCCGGGCGUAAGGGACCGAAAUUAGAGUAGGGAAGCACACUUGGCUGAAGGCGAGAAAAGCUUUGCGUAUAGAAACAGAUGCCCGUACCGCAAACCGACACAGGUGGACAGGAAGAGAAUUCUAAGGCCAGCGGGAGAAGGGUAGUUAAGGAACUCGGCAAAUUGACUCCGUAACUUCGGAAUAAGGAGUGCUCGAAAGAGCCGCAGAGAAUAGGCCCAGGCGACUGUUUAGCAAAAACACAGGUCUCUGCCAAAUCGAAAGAUGAAGUAUAGGGGCUGACACCUGCCCGGUGCUGGAAGGUUAAGAGGAGAUGUGCAAGCAUUGAAUUGAAGCCCCAGUAAACGGCGGCCGUAACUAUAACGGUCCUAAGGUAGCGAAAUUCCUUGUCGGGUAAGUUCCGACCCGCACGAAUGGUGUAACGAUCUGGGCACUGUCUCAACUACCCACCCGGCGAAAUUGUAGUACCGGUGAAGAUGCCGGUUACCUGCGGCAAGACGGAAAGACCCCAUGGAGCUUUACUGUAGCCUGAUAUUGGGUUUCGGAAAUCUAUGUACAGGAUAGGCGGGAGACUGGGAAACAUGAGCGUCAGCUUGUGUGGAGUCGAUGUUGGGAUACCGCCCUUAGGUUUCUGGAAUUCUAACCUGCGGCCGUGAAUCCGGUCGGGGGACAUUGUCAGGUGGGCAGUUUGACUGGGGCGGUCGCCUCCGAAAAGGUAACGGAGGCGCUCAAAGGUUAGCUCAGCACGGACGGAAACCGUGCCUCUGAGUGUAAACGCAAAAGCUAGCCUAACUGCGAGGGUGACGGCCCGAGCAGUAACGAAAGUUGGAGUUAGUGAUCCGGCGGUAUGUGAAUGGAAAUGCC
This 1551-nucleotide ribosomal RNA is filed under the name human gut metagenome. Its description in RNAcentral is "bacterial LSU rRNA". It matches the Rfam family "Bacterial large subunit ribosomal RNA", at positions 803 to 2443 of the family's 2925-position model. The record is from RNAcentral.